UCCGGUUGAUCCCGCCGGACCUGACUGCUAUCGGAUUGAUACUAAGCCAUGCGAGUCUUUGCAGUAAUGCAAGGCAUACGGCUCAGUAACACGUAGUCAACUUACCCUAUGGACGAGGAUAAUCUCGGGAAACUGAGCAUAAUACCCGGCGUACCACCAUUCCUGGAAUGGUUGGUGGUUAAAAUGAUUCGUCGCCGUAGGAUGGGACUGCGACCUAUCAGCUUGUUGGUGAGGUAAAGGCCCACCAAGGCGAUUACAGGUACGGGCUCUGAGAGGAGAAGCCCGGAGAUGGGUACUGAGACACGGACCCAGGCCCUAUGGGGCGCAGCAGGCGAGAAAACUUUGCAAUGUGCGAAAGCACGACAAGGUUAAUCCGAGUGAUUUCUGCUAAAGGAAUCUUUUGCCAGUUCUAAAAAUACUAGUGAAUAAGGGGUGGGCAAGUUCUGGUGUCAGCCGCCGCGGUAAAACCAGCACCUCAAGUGGUCAGGAGGAUUAUUGGGCCUAAAGCAUCCGUAGCCUGAUCUGUAAGUUUUCGGUUAAAUCUAUAUGCUCAACAUAUAGGCUGCCGAAAAUACUGCAGUGCUAGGAAGUGGGAGAGGUAGACGGUACUUGAUAGGAAGGGGUAAAAUCCUUUGAUCUAUCGAUGACCACCUGUGGCGAAGGCGGUCUACCAGAACACGUUCGACGGUGAGGGAUGAAAGCUGGGGGAGCAAACCGGAUUAGAUACCCGGGUAGUCCCAGCUGUAAACGAUGCAGACUAGAUGAUGCAUUGGCAUAUAGCCAGUGCAGUGUCUCAGGGAAGCCGUUAAGUCUGCCGCCUGGGAAGUACGUACGCAAGUAUGAAACUUAAAGGAAUUGGCGGGGGAGCACCACAAGGGGUGAAGCCUGCGGUUCAAUUGGAUUCAACGCCGGA
This 913-nucleotide ribosomal RNA is filed under the name uncultured marine archaeon. Its description in RNAcentral is "bacterial SSU rRNA". It matches the Rfam family "Archaeal small subunit ribosomal RNA", at positions 1 to 922 of the family's 1478-position model. The record is from RNAcentral.